RNAcentral lists this ribosomal RNA (548 nucleotides) under uncultured bacterium. RNAcentral describes it as "partial 16S ribosomal RNA". It matches the Rfam family "Bacterial small subunit ribosomal RNA", at positions 355 to 913 of the family's 1533-position model. The record is from RNAcentral.
UGGGGAAUAUUGCACAAUGGGCGAAAGCCUGAUGCAGCAACGCCGCGUGCGGGAUGACGGCCUUCGGGUUGUAAACCGCUUUCAGCAGGGACGAAGGUUUUCUGACGGUACCUGCAGAAGAAGCACCGGCUAACUACGUGCCAGCAGCCGCGGUGAUACGUAGGGUGCGAGCGUUGUCCGGAAUUAUUGGGCGUAAAGAGCUUGUAGGCGGUCCGUUGCGUCGGAAGUGAAAACUCAGGGCUUAACCCUGAGCCUGCUUUCGAUACGGGCGGACUUGAGGGAUGUAGGGGAGAACGGAAUUCCUGGUGGAGCGGUGGAAUGCGCAGAUAUCAGGAGGAACACCAGUGGCGAAGGCGGUUCUCUGGACAUUUCCUGACGCUGAGAAGCGAAAGCGUGGGGAGCAAACAGGCUUAGAUACCCUGGUAGUCCACGCCGUAAACGGUGGGCACUAGGUGUGGGACCCAUUCCACGGGUUCCGUGCCGUAGCUAACGCAUUAAGUGCCCCGCCUGGGGAGUACGGCCGCAAGGCUAAAACUCAAAGGAAUUGA